AAUGGGACAGACGAGAGUGAAUGAAUGAAUGUAUUUUACCAACAGGAAUGCAAUAUGACAUUCAACAACAACGGCGUACAUUCUGAAGGAAUGAUGUCCAAUGACUGUAGAAUCGAACGGUGGAUAGGUGUUUCGAAAAAAAGGCAUCCUCUAGAUUUUCUUUUCCUGAUCUUUAGUUGAAUGCGUCUGAGAGGAAAUCGUGGAAACAUCAGGAAGUGAUUUCAAACUUUAGUUUCGAUCACCCGAUAAGUGAAACAUAAGCGGGGCCCAGUUCUGAGAAAAUAUGGAGUAUAGCUUUGCAAUCAGUAUUGCCCAUGCUAUCUUUGGAACAAGUUGUCGACCUACAGGCCUAGUCUUUUAAAAAACGAAGUAGGCAUGCCUUACUCUUCCACGAAGACUGCUGAUAACCCCAUGCAUCACCUGUGUCGUCACCAUUGCAACCCUCAACGAGAGGAGCAGGAAAGAAGGGGGCUACUACAGACAGACCAAAGGCCGAAGAGGAACAGUUCCAUGAAUCCAAGCAAGGCUCAGAGCCAUGACCUUGUGAAGAAGAUAUUUUCAUGAUUCUCCUUAAGUCUUCCUGUACCUCACCUUCUCCACAUUGACGAGUGGAUACCAUACCAGUGGAUACCAUGCGCGACCCCCAAAACACGUAAAGGGAUGUCUUUUUCAAGAUAUGGCACGUUACGUACGUAACGUAAUAAGAUGAAAAAGGGGUAUCUAUUUCGCUAGGAAAGCUACGUUUUUAGGGUCGAAUUUGUGAGGGUAUACAAAAGACAAAUGUUUUAUAAAGAAUGUACGUUUUGCCCCGUCAACACAUACGUGUUUAGAGUCCGAUUUGCGCGAGGUGUGGGAGGUUGAGCCGUAUACCCAAUGAUGUAGGUAAAGGUAAAACUGACGUCCGUGACAUAACUAAAAUAUCGCUGUACUAGUUUAUGGGUUCAAUUCAGGGAAUACUUGCCAAGGGUAUCGUUUUGUUUCCAAUAUUAGAUCUACUUGUUAAGGGUAGGCUUUCACACGCCAAUACUUGUUAAGGGGUGCAUUUUCAGAAUAUGGAAAAUACUUGUUUAGGGUGCUUUUUAAGACCCCAUGGUCGCGCAUGCAUGGUAUCCAUUUCUUUGUUUUGCCAAACCUUUGUUUUUUAUUGUUUUUUGUGAUGAAAUUUGUCGGGGACCCUUGUGCAAUCAUAAAUAGGAUAAAAUAAAUCCAUAUAAACGAACGAUAGUAAAAAUAAUCAAACAUUUAUGAAUUUUGGUUGAAAAACACAAUUUGCAUUUACUUUCUACAUGGACUCACGUUUUUGAGCAAUUUCGGGUCUGACAUGCAUUUACAAAAUUUUGCAUAAUUUAGGAACUGCGUUUCUGGAUGUUGCAAAUUUGGUCGCAAGACUUGAAAGUAAAAAAGCAGCGAGCGGGGUGGUCAUAAAAAUUGGCGCGACGGCGCAUGCAGUGACGAAAUUUGUUGAGGUGGGAUCAAAUUGACCCCCCCCCCCCAGUUUAAUUAGGGUUAAAGCGCACACAUAACAAUUAAAAAAGGACAAAACACUUUAUCCAUGUAAUGAAUAUUGUGUGUUUAAUAAUAAUGUCACCCAUCAUCUUGUGUAUGCAGUAAAAACGGGCAGAUUGAAAUGUUGAAGAUGCUACAUGGGAUUCCCACUGAAAUCUGCCAAAAGAAAUUGACAUUUGUUCAUAAAGGAAGUGUGACUGAAUUCACUCCGCCAUCAUCAGGAUUUUAUCCUGUUAAUGCUGUUGUCACAUUUCCCAUACGGUGCCUGCAUCGUGAGGUUUUAGGUUUUUAAGAUCAGCUUAAUUUCUUAUUUCAGCUUUUCUCUGUUCAAAAGUAUAGGAGCUUUUUUAACUUAUGCUAUUUUUGGCUUAUGGUUGGCAGCUGUGCUUACUCAUGUGAGUAGUAACCUCCAUUUUUUGUUACUUUCCUCCAACCCAGCCAGAAGAUGCAAUUGAGGACUGAACAGAUGCAUUGAAGAGAGAUCAUAAAGGAGUCAAAGUUGUCUAUCGUAGAGCACUAGCCAGAAAGGAAGGACAAGUACAGGCCCAGGACGAGCUGGUCGUUAUCAGCCAGAGAUGAUCGAUCAUUAUGGGUUCUUUUGUACCAGUGACUGCCAGCGAUUUUUUUUGCAGAGACCAGUGGACCGAUAGAAUGAAGAAAUGCAUUAGAAAAUUCUGUGUCACAAAGGACUGUAUAAACCAAUUUAAAAAGACCUUUAUUAUUUCAAACCCAGAUCUAGAUGUCAAAACUUUCACAGGAUACUGUAUUCAGGGUUCCUAGCCCAUCAGGGAAAAUUAUUUUCCUUUUUCCAGUCAGGGAAAAAUCAGGGAAUUUGAUUUUUUUUUUAAUGCAUGAAAUCAGGGGAAAAUGCCUCAAAUGAGGGGGAAAUCAGGGAAUUUUGAUCGGCCCAGAAAUCGAAAGUAUGGUAGUCAGUCAGACUGUGUUUAUUUUGUUGCAUCAAAACAACAUCCUUUGAAUGACUGGUUAGGGUGGGGUUUUUUUCAUGUAAUCCACUGCUACAACUACAUGCGAAACUGGGAAUUAUCAGGGAAUUGUUAAACUUCAUCAGGGAAAAUCAGGGAAUUUGUUUUCUUGAAAAGCUUGGAAGCCUGGUAUUUGAAAACUUUACUAUUCAACCAAAGUAGAGCUAUGGAAAUCAGAAGCGGAUCUAGA
This is a long non-coding RNA of Lytechinus pictus (painted urchin), 2679 nucleotides long. RefSeq lists it as uncharacterized. The transcript is spliced from 3 exons. The record is from RefSeq and is a predicted model, not a curated record. NCBI's taxonomy places the organism in Eukaryota, Metazoa, Echinodermata, Echinoidea, Temnopleuroida, Toxopneustidae.